AUUGAACGCUGGCGGAAUGCUUUACACAUGCAAGUCGAACGGCAGCACGGACUUCGGUCUGGUGGCGAGUGGCGAACGGGUGAGUAAUACAUCGGAACGUGCCCCGUCGUGGGGGAUAACGUAGCGAAAGCUACGCUAAUACCGCAUACGAUCUACGGAUGAAAGCGGGGGAUCGGAAGACCUCGCGCGACUGGAUCGGCCGAUGGCAGAUUAGGUAGUGGGUAGGGUAAAGGCCUACCAAGCCGACGAUCUGUAGCUGGUCUGAGAGGAUGAUCAGCCACACUGGGACUGGGACACGGCCCAGACUCCUACGGGAGGCAGCAGUGGGGAAUUUUGGACAAUGGGCGCAAGCCUGAUCCAGCCAUUCCGCGUGCAGGAUGAAGGCCUUCGGGUUGUAAACUGCUUUUGUACAGAACGAAAAGGCUCUGGUUAAUACCUGGGGCUCAUGACGGUACUGUAAGAAUAAGCACCGGCUAACUACGUGCCAGCAGCCGCGGUAA
This 500-nucleotide ribosomal RNA is filed under the name uncultured bacterium. RNAcentral's name for it is "partial 16S ribosomal RNA". It matches the Rfam family "Bacterial small subunit ribosomal RNA", at positions 30 to 523 of the family's 1533-position model. The record is from RNAcentral.